This 1593-nucleotide long non-coding RNA is filed under the name Macaca fascicularis (crab-eating macaque). Its description in RNAcentral is "lncRNA (ENSMFAG00000064253.1)". The record is from RNAcentral. Lineage: Eukaryota; Metazoa; Chordata; Mammalia; Primates; Cercopithecidae.
AGCAGGGUCCAUGUUUAUGCAGAUCGGAGGUGCCCCUACCGUGUGGCCGCACUGUACUGUGCUGCCCGGGUAGCCAGGAAUCUCUCGGUCUCUCCCCUGCUGCCCGCCUGGUCUCAUGGGCCUCCUUCACACACCGCUCCCUGUGGAUUGCCUGCCUGGGCCCAGAGCAGGGGAACUGGAGUUUGUGAGUGAGCAGAGCAUGUUAUGUGCAGACAGGGAAACGAGAACUUUGAACCUGGCUUUCUGAGUCCAGGGGAGAGCUGUGUGGCCCCCGACACCACUCUGCCGCCAGAGGGAUGUGCCUGCUGAGCCUUUUCCUUCCACACCGCCUCUGGCUGCCGGGCCAGCGGCUUCCACUGAGACUCCCUGGAGAGCCGUUCCCGUGUCCAUCCACCGAGCACUCAGACGGAUGCUGAUGACCAGGCCGAGGGGGAGCCCAGAAGGACCCCAGGCCCUGGAUAGGGUGGCUCUGGGAGGCCAGGUUCACUGCCCGGAAGUCUGUCAGCCCUAAGCCAGGGAAGACUGGAGCUUGGCCUGGUGGGUCUGGGUGGACGCCGCUCCCCCUCCGGACUCCCUGCACAGGGAAGGAGGCCUGAGCCUCUGUGGCCCUGUAGCCGUGGGCAGAGCUGGGCCUGUCCUGUGUUCCUGCCUGGCAGGUGCAGGUGCUGGCCGUCUCAGGCGGAAGGAGGUGGGAAUCUUGGAUUUUUUUUUUUUUUUUUUUUGAGAUGGAGUCUUGCUCUAACACCCAGGCUGAAGUACAAUGGUGCGAUCUCGGCUCACUGCAACCUCCGCUUCCCGGGUUCAAGUGAUUCUCCUGCCCCAGCCUUGCGAGUAGCUGGGAUUACAGGCGUACGCCACCACGCUUAACUGAUUUUUGUAUUUUUAGUAGAGACGGGGUUUCACCAUGUUGGCCAAGCUGGUCUCGAACUCCUGACCUCAGGUGAUCCACCCAACUCGGCCUCCCAAAGUGCUGGGAUUACAGGCGUGAGCCACCGCACCCGGCAGAAUCUUGGAAUGUUUAUAGACAGCACCUCAGUUUCUGACUCCAGCUGCACACUUCCUGCCUCUACCAGCAGGGGUUGCCACCAGGCCAGAGCCAGGGCCGGGUCCCUGCGUCCAUCCCCCCGGUAGGAUGGACAUGAGCCAUCCUUCUAGGGGACUUUUUCCAGUGUGCGACUCCUCUCUGUUAGGUGGGAGGAGCCGGUGUGUGUGGCCUGUGCCAUGCUCAGCAAUGCGUGGCUGGGCUCUGUGUGUGUCCCCUGUUCCUGCAGGGCCCAGCAGGCAUCGUAGCGUGGCAGCUGUGUCCAAACCACUGCCCGGGCAUCCCACGACCCGCCAGGGUGCACGGUCACUCCCGCUGGGGGCUUUCUGUCGCAUGUGUGUCUCCUGUCGACUCUGCACUUCGUUCUCAGAGCAGAAUGUUUCCUGUUCUCAGUGCGUGAAGACACUGGUUUUCGAUCUGCGUCUAAAACCACUUUCCUGCCUUUCAUUGUAACACAGUGUGUUCAUUUGUUUAAAACAGAGUUUAAUUAGUAAUUUAGAUCUGACUGGUCAAUAUCUUAAAACUUUAUAUUAAUAAAAAGUUCUUCCUGG